CCUUAGAUGUUCUGGGCCGCACGCGCGCUACACUGACAGAGCCAUCGAGUAUAAACCUUAACCGAGAGGUUUGGGUAAUCUUGUUAAACUCUGUCGUGCUGGGGAUAGGGCAUUGCAAUUAUUGCCCUUCAACGAGGAAUAUCUAGUAAGCGCAAGUCAUCAGCUUGCGUUGAUUACGUCCCUGCCCUUUGUACACACCGCCCGUCGCUACUACCGAUUGAAUGGCUCAGUGAGGCCUUCGGACUGGCUCCAGGAGGUCGGCAACGACCACCCAGAGCCGGAAAGUUGGUCAAACUUGGUCAUUUAGAGGAAGUAAAAGUCGUAACAAGGUUUCCGUAGGUGAACCUGCGGAAGGAUCAUUACCAAACAAAAAGUGAUUCCGGGUCAGGCCGCGAGGCAUGGCCCGUCAACACUCCAACCCUCUGUGAACCAAAAAACCUUUCGCUUCGGCAGCAGCCCGGUUGGAAGCAACCGCCCGUGUCAGCCUGCCGCUAGCACCAAAAAACAAAACUUGCAGUAAAACAUUGUCUGAUAACCAUAUUUUCGAAUGAAAAUUAAAACUUUCAACAACGGAUCUCUUGGUUCCCGCAUCGAUGAAGAACGCAGCGAAACGCGAUAGUUAAUGUGAAUUGCAGAAUUCAGUGAAUCAUCGAGUCUUUGAACGCACAUUGCGCCCAUUGGUAUUCCAUUGGGCAUGUCUGUUUGAGCGUCAUUACAACCCUCGGUCACAACCGGUUUUGAGUUGGCCCGGGCCUCGCGCCCCGCCCGCUUUAAAGUUGUAAGCUCUGCUGGCCUCCGCGCCCGACCAGAACAUAGUAAAUCUCAUGCCUUGUUCAACGGUUAAGCACGGACGGUUCGGCCUGAACAAAACCUCCAAACUCAAGGUUUGACCUCAGAUCAGACAAGGAUACCCGCUGAACUUAAGCAUAUCAAUAAGCGGAGGAAAAGAAACCAACAGGGAUUGCCUCAGUAACGGCGAGUGAAGCGGCAACAGCUCAAAUUUGAAAUCUGGAGCCUUCGGCUUCCGAGUUGUAAUUUGAAGAGGAUGUUUCGGUUGCGGCUUGGGCCUAAGUUCCUUGGAACAGGACGUCAUGGAGGGUGAGAAUCCCGUAAAUGGCCCCCGGCUUGCUUCCAUGUGAAGCUCCUUCGAAGAGUCGAGUUGUUUGGGAAUGCAGCUCAAAAUGGGUGGUAAAUUUCAUCUAAAGCUAAAUAUUGGCGGGAGACCGAUAGCGCACAAGUAGAGUGAUCGAAAGAUGAAAAGCACUUUGAAAAGAGAGUUAAACAGUACGUGAAAUUGUUGAAAGGGAAGCGCUUGCAAUCAGACUCGCUUUCGGUUGAUCAACGUUCCUUCUGGUUCGUGCACUCUGCCGUUUGCGGGCCAGCAUCAGUUGGGGCGGCGGGACAAAGACGGCGGGAAUGUGGCUCCCCUCGGGGAGUGUUAUAGCCCACCGUGCCAUGCCGCCAGCCCCGAUUGAGGUCCGCGGUUCGCCUAGGAUGCUGGCUUAAUGGUUGUAAGCGAC
This 1520-nucleotide ribosomal RNA is filed under the name Dactylellina parvicollis. RNAcentral's name for it is "eukaryotic LSU rRNA". The stretch from base 888 to 1520 matches the Rfam family "Eukaryotic large subunit ribosomal RNA", at positions 1 to 648 of the family's 3401-position model. The record is from RNAcentral. Lineage: Eukaryota; Fungi; Ascomycota; Orbiliomycetes; Orbiliales; Orbiliaceae.